UGAUUGAAGUAAUAAUCAGUAAAACCUGCUCAAUGAAUUUUUAACAGCCGCAGAAAUCUGUGCUAAGGUAGCAUAAUCAUUUGCCUUUUAAUUGAAGGCUAGAAUGAAUGGUUUUACAUAUAAGAUAUUUUAUUAAAUAAAUUUUUUUACUUUUACUUGUUAGUAAAAAGGCUAACAUUAUAAGAAGGACGACAAGACCCUAUCAAACUUUACAUUUUUGUUACGCUGGGGCAGCGAAAAAAUAACAUCUUUAUUAUUAUCUUCUAUUUAUCUAUAUUAUAAAACUAUUAAGUUACUGUAGGGAUAACAGCAUAAUAUUCUUUAAAAGUUCUUAUUUUAAAGAAAGCUUAUGACCUCGAUGUUGAAUUAAAGAUUCUUUUACGGAGCAAAAUCUUAAAAAGAAAGUCUGUUCGACUUUUAAAACUUU
This 427-nucleotide ribosomal RNA is filed under the name Stanwellia inornata. RNAcentral's name for it is "partial 16S ribosomal RNA". It matches the Rfam family "Archaeal large subunit ribosomal RNA", at positions 1926 to 2666 of the family's 2987-position model. Lineage: Eukaryota; Metazoa; Arthropoda; Arachnida; Araneae; Nemesiidae. The record is from RNAcentral.